RNAcentral lists this ribosomal RNA (876 nucleotides) under uncultured euryarchaeote. RNAcentral describes it as "bacterial SSU rRNA". It matches the Rfam family "Archaeal small subunit ribosomal RNA", at positions 21 to 903 of the family's 1478-position model. The record is from RNAcentral. Lineage: Archaea; Methanobacteriati; Methanobacteriota.
AGCUACCGCUAUUGGAGUUCGAUUAAGCCAUGCGAGUCGAGAGUCCUCGGGACUCGGCGUACCGCUCAGUAACACGUGGGUAACCUGCCCUAUGCUGGGGAAUAACCUCGGGAAACUGAGAAUAAUGCCCCAUAGCCCACUACGCCUGGAACGGUGAGUGGGUCAAAGCCCCGGCGGCAUAGGAUGGGCCUGCGCCGUAUCAGGUUGUAGGGGGUGUAAAGUACCCUCUAGCCAUCAACGCGUACGGGUGUUGGGAGACAUUGCCCGGAGAUGGAUUCUGAGACACGAAUCCAGACCCUACGGGGUGCAGCAGGCGCGAAAACUUGGCAAUGCGAGAAAUCGUGACCAGGGAACUCCAAGUGCAUCGGGUAAGACCGGUGCUUUUCUUGACUCUAAAUAGGUCUUGGAAUAAGGGGUGGGUAAGGACGGUGCCAGCCGCCGCGGUAAUACCGGCGCCUCAAGUGGUAGUCGCUUUUAUUGGGCCUAAAACGUCCGUAGCCGGUCUGAUACAUUCGUGGGUAAAUCAACCAGCUCAACUGGUUGAAUUCUGCGAGGACGGUCAGACUUGGGACCGGGAGAGGUGUGGGGUACGCUCAGGGUAGGGGUAAAAUCCUGUCAUCCUGAGCGGACCACCUGUUGCGAAGGCGCCACACUAGAACGGAUCCGACGGUCAGGGACGAAGCCUAGGGGCACGAACCGGAUUAGAUACCCGGGUAGUCCUAGGUGUAAACGCUGUGGACUUGAUGUUGGGGGUGCUCCGAGCACUCUCAGUGUCGAAGCGAAGGUGAUAAGUCCACUGCCUGGGAAGUACGGUCGCAAGGCUGAAACUUAAAGGAAUUGGCGGGGGAGCACCGCAACCUGAGGAUUGUGCGGUUU